Molecule: transfer RNA, 73 nt
Filed under: Stegodyphus mimosarum
Lineage: Eukaryota; Metazoa; Arthropoda; Arachnida; Araneae; Eresidae
Rfam family: tRNA
About the family: Transfer RNA (tRNA) molecules are approximately 80 nucleotides in length.
Source: Rfam by way of RNAcentral
GCCUUUGUGGCGUAAUGGCGAGCACACUCGGCGCGUAUUCGAAAGGUCCGAGGUUCGAAUCCCGGCAACGGCA